RNAcentral lists this ribosomal RNA (793 nucleotides) under uncultured Glomus. Its description in RNAcentral is "SSU rRNA". It matches the Rfam family "Eukaryotic small subunit ribosomal RNA", at positions 317 to 1114 of the family's 1831-position model. Lineage: Eukaryota; Fungi; Glomeromycota; Glomeromycetes; Glomerales; Glomeraceae. The record is from RNAcentral.
AACUUUCGAUGGUAGGAUAGAGGCCUACCAUGGUGGUAACGGGUAACGGGGUGUUAGGGCACGACACCGGAGAGGGAGCCUGAGAAACGGCUACCACAUCCAAGGAUGGCAGCAGGCGCGCAAAUUACCCAAUCCCGACACGGGGAGGUAGUGACAAUAAAUAACAAUACGGGGUUCUUUAGGAUUUCGUAAUUGGAAUGAGUACAAUUUAAAUCUCUUAACGAGGAACAAUUGGAGGGCAAGUCUGGUGCCAGCAGCCGCGGUAAUUCCAGCUCCAAUAGCGUAUAUUAAAGUUGUUGCAGUUAAAAAGCUCGUAGUUGAAUUUCGGGGUCAGUAGGUUGGUCAUGCCACUGGUAUGUACUGGCCUCACUGAUUCCUCCUUCCUGAUGAGCCGUAAUGCCAUUAAUUUGGUGUUGCGAGGAAUCUGGACUGUUACUUUGAAAAAAUUAGAGUGUUUAAAGCAGGCUAACGCUUGAAUACAUUAGCAUGGAAUAAUGAAAUAGGACGUUCGAUCUUAUUUUGUUGGUUUCUAAGAUUGACGUAAUGAUUAAUAGGGAUAGUUGGGGGCAUUAGUAUUCAAUUGUCAGAGGUGAAAUUCUUGGAUUUAUUGAAGACUAACUACUGCGAAAGCAUUUGCCAAGGAUGUUUUCAUUAAUCAAGAACGAAAGUUAGGGGAUCGAAGACGAUCAGAUACCGUCGUAGUCUUAACCAUAAACUAUGCCGACUAGGGAUCGGAUGAUGUUAAUUUUUAAUGACUCAUUCGGCGCCUUACGGGAACCAAAGUGUUUGGUUC